This 77-nucleotide small RNA is filed under the name Xanthomonas oryzae. RNAcentral's name for it is "sX9". It matches the Rfam family "Xanthomonas sRNA sX9". Lineage: Bacteria; Pseudomonadati; Pseudomonadota; Gammaproteobacteria; Lysobacterales; Lysobacteraceae. The record is from RNAcentral.
AUGUAUCCCUCGUACACCGCGAUUCUGGGUGUGCCGUCCGCGCCCACCUGACAGCUGCUCGCGACGUGUUGUUCGCC